CCUACGGGAGGCUGCAGUAGGGAAUUUUCGGCAAUGGGGGGAACCCUGACCGAGCAACGCCGCGUGAACGAAGAAGUUAUUCGUAAUGUAAAGUUCUUUUAACAGGGAAGAAAGAGAAAUUUGACGGUACCUGAAGAAUAAGCUCCGGCUAACUACGGGCCAGCAGCCGCGGUAAUACGUAGGGAGCGAGCGUUAUCCGGAAUUAUUGGGCGAAAAGGGUGCGUAGAUGGCAUAGUAAGUCUUUUGUAAAAAUGCUGGGCUAAACCCAGUAGGGACAAAGAUACUGCAAAGCUAGAGUAUGACAGAGGCAAGUGGAACUACAUGUGUAGCGGUAAAAUGCGUAAAUAUAUGUAAGAACACCAGUGGCGAAGGCGGCUUGCUGGGUCGAUACUGACAUUGAGGCACGAAAGCGUGGGGAGCAAACAGGAUUAGAUACCCUAGUAGUC
RNAcentral lists this ribosomal RNA (446 nucleotides) under uncultured bacterium. RNAcentral's name for it is "partial 16S ribosomal RNA". It matches the Rfam family "Bacterial small subunit ribosomal RNA", at positions 338 to 795 of the family's 1533-position model. The record is from RNAcentral.